This 363-nucleotide unclassified non-coding RNA is filed under the name uncultured bacterium. Its description in RNAcentral is "contains 16S-23S intergenic spacer region". The record is from RNAcentral.
UCCCCGUUACCGGGGCAGUCUGAUUAGAAAAAUUCAACUAACCAUAAGGGUUGCGCUCGUUGAAGGACUUAACCUAACAUCUCACGACACGAGCUGACGACGGCCAUGCAACACCUGUCUUUGGGUUCCCGAAGGCACUCACGUCUUUCGACAUAAUUCCCAAGAUGUCAAGACCUGGUAAGGUUCUUCGCUUACCAUCGAAUUAAACAACACGCUCCACUGCUUGUGCGGCUCCCCGUCAAUUCCUUUGAGUUUUAGUCUUGCGACCGUACUCCCCAGGCGGGAUACUUAACGCGUUAGCUUCGCUACAUACCGGGUCGAUACGGCAUACAGCUAGUAUCCAUAGUUUACGGCGUGGACUAC